This is a non-coding RNA of Drosophila kikkawai, 436 nucleotides long. The record is from RefSeq and is a predicted model, not a curated record. NCBI's taxonomy places the organism in Eukaryota, Metazoa, Arthropoda, Insecta, Diptera, Drosophilidae.
GAACGCCCUGCCAUUAAUGCGCCGUCAUCGUUAGCUCCUCUCUCCUGGCGGGGAUGCGGUUUGGGGUUCUCGCGAGGCAUAUUAGUGACCAAUUUAAAUUCAAACAUCAGUGGCUAGUGGGUGUGACUGUCGGGCAUCAUUAGCAGACACUCGAGUCGCCCUAAUGCUCACCGAUUUGUAUCUGCAAUUUGCUUUAUGCAAGAUAUCUGCGGUAAAUACUCCUACUUGGUUGGAUAUAUCUACUAGGAACUCGAGCUAACUUCCGCCGUGACUCAUAAGUGUCUAGAAGGAUUUAAAUAAUUUAUCAUCUGCCUAAAUUCAAAUUAUGGGAAUGAAUCUAUAAAGUAGAUUUUUCACUUUAUAAUAUUGCAUUUUAUGUAGACAAGCACAAAUGGUUAAAACUUUACAGGAACUCCUCUGAAAAAAAAGUUUUGGU